GCCGAGGUAGCAGAGUGGUUAAUGCGCGGGCCUUGAGAGCCCGUGGAUCAUCCGGUCCGCAUGGGUUCGAAUCCCAUUCUCGGCGCCA
This 88-nucleotide transfer RNA is filed under the name Nitrososphaerota archaeon. RNAcentral's name for it is "tRNA-Ser". It matches the Rfam family "tRNA". Rfam says of the family: Transfer RNA (tRNA) molecules are approximately 80 nucleotides in length. Their secondary structure includes four short double-helical elements and three loops (D, anti-codon, and T loops). Lineage: Archaea; Thermoproteati; Nitrososphaerota. The record is from RNAcentral.